This 751-nucleotide ribosomal RNA is filed under the name Micromonospora soli. Its description in RNAcentral is "bacterial SSU rRNA". It matches the Rfam family "Bacterial small subunit ribosomal RNA", at positions 152 to 916 of the family's 1533-position model. Lineage: Bacteria; Bacillati; Actinomycetota; Actinomycetes; Micromonosporales; Micromonosporaceae. The record is from RNAcentral.
GGAAACCGGGGCUAAUACCGAAUAGGACCACCGUCCGCAUGGUUGGUGGUGGAAAGUUUUUCGGCCUGGGAUGGGCUCGCGGCCUAUCAGCUUGUUGGUGGGGUGAUGGCCUACCAAGGCGACGACGGGUAGCCGGCCUGAGAGGGCGACCGGCCACACUGGGACUGAGACACGGCCCAGACUCCUACGGGAGGCAGCAGUGGGGAAUAUUGCACAAUGGGCGGAAGCCUGAUGCAGCGACGCCGCGUGAGGGAUGACGGCCUUCGGGUUGUAAACCUCUUUCAGCAGGGACGAAGCGUAAGUGACGGUACCUGCAGAAGAAGCGCCGGCCAACUACGUGCCAGCAGCCGCGGUAAGACGUAGGGCGCGAGCGUUGUCCGGAUUUAUUGGGCGUAAAGAGCUCGUAGGCGGCUUGUCGCGUCGACUGUGAAAACCCGCAGCUCAACUGCGGGCCUGCAGUCGAUACGGGCAGGCUAGAGUUCGGUAGGGGAGACUGGAAUUCCUGGUGUAGCGGUGAAAUGCGCAGAUAUCAGGAGGAACACCGGUGGCGAAGGCGGGUCUCUGGGCCGAUACUGACGCUGAGGAGCGAAAGCGUGGGGAGCGAACAGGAUUAGAUACCCUGGUAGUCCACGCUGUAAACGUUGGGCGCUAGGUGUGGGGGGCCUCUCCGGUUCCCUGUGCCGCAGCUAACGCAUUAAGCGCCCCGCCUGGGGAGUACGGCCGCAAGGCUAAAACUCAAAGGAAUUGACGG